Molecule: ribosomal RNA, 253 nt
Filed under: uncultured bacterium
Lineage: Bacteria
Description: partial 16S ribosomal RNA
Rfam family: Bacterial small subunit ribosomal RNA
Source: RNAcentral
UACAGAGGUGGCAAGCGUUGUUCGGAAUUACUGGGCGUAAAGGGCGCGUAGGCGGUUUCGUAAGUCCCGUGUGAAAGCCCCCGGCUCAACUGGGGAAUUGCACGGGAAACUGCGAGGCUCGAGUCCGGAAGAGGCGAGUGGAAUUCCUGGUGUAGCGGUGAAAUGCGCAGAUAUCAGGAGGAACACCGAUGGCGAAGGCAGCUCGCUGGGCCGGUACUGACGCUGAGGAGCGAAAGCAUGGGGAGCGAACAGG